ACCCUGUGACGGGAGGCGGUGCAGGGGAGCGUGGCUGGGCUGCGGGUAACUGGGCGCUCGCUACUGCCAGGGCCACGCGUGCUGCCCGCGCCGUGUAAUUUCCGGAGCCAGCCUUCUCCGGACAGGCCCGAGCUCUUCCCGUACACACAGAUCCGUCACGCUACAGCUACUAGAGACAAGGAGCCGCUUCACUACCCAGCUCCCAUUCCUGCCCUGAGGCCUCUCUCGCCUGGGCACUGCGGGAAGCAGGAGAGUACGUGCUCCUGUCAUUCAAGACUAACAUCAGGAUCUUUGAAGACACCUAUGAGCUACAAAGACUUAGGGCCUCAUCCUGCCAAUAAUAUAUCCCUCAAUUCCCAUUGGCCUCAAUGGGAGUUCAGGGUGCUCAGUGCCCCUCAGGAUCAGACCCUACAGAAGAGAAUUGGGAUGUAUCGCCAUGCAUCUUGAAAGAUGGGGAAACUGAGGCACACAGCAGAGAAGUGACUUGUGCACAGUCAUCCAGAAGAUCAAUGGCAGAGCCAGAAUUUGAACUCAAGUCUCCAGAGUCCCAAUCCAGCACCCUAUCUAGUGGACAACACCUUUGCAUAGGCUUUGGUAAUGUGGACCAAAUUGCCUAAGCACUUGCUAAAAAUAGAUCUUCGAUAACUCAUUUACUUUGUCUCUGCUAUAUGCCACAGGAGAAAGUUAUGGGCUGCUUUCUGCACUGAUAUUACUGUUUACUACAUUGGUUCAGAGUAAUUCCAUUGAAGUUAAUGGCAUGACACGUACAUAAAACCAGUGUAAGUGAGAUCAGAAUCACAUCCUUUGACAUCAACUGAUUUACACUAGUGUAACUGAAAGCAGCAUUUCACCUGCUGUUUAGAGCAGAUAUUUCUUUCAUCAUGAGCCAAGAGUUUAAAUCAUUAAUGUGUUUCUUUUAUAGGAUCCUCCUUCUCACAUUGACAAGUCAACUCGCCCUCAUUGUCUGGGGCAAGAGCAGCCAAAGUUAAAAACCUGCAGCAGAUGCAGCUGAUUGGAAUGGGUCAGUGCAUACAUCUGCCUUUGACUCUCAGCUCACAUAGACAUACCUGCACUAGCUCUGCUCAAGCUAGCAACUAUAGACAGCAGUGGAUCUGCGGCAGCACAGGCAGCUACUCGGGCUAGCCGCCCUGAGUACAGUCCCACCCUGCUCCCAGGUACAUGCUCGGGUAGCUAGCCCAAGCCACCCCCCAUGCCAUCACAGAUGCACUGCUAUUUUUAGGCACUAGCUCAAGCAGAGCUAGCGUGGGUACAUGUACACAAACUGGGACUCAGACUUCCCAGCUCAUACGUAGAGGUAUACAGUCUGAGCAUGUUACACCUGUGCUCCGCACUAUAUUAAUUACCCCAUCUGUUUCUAUGUCUAGUUCAAGCUGUUGUUUUUAAUCUGUUAACACCUAUGUGGUUUGGGACUUAGCUACUUUAGAAACCAUUUCUUUUCUCAUGUCCCACUGUGCAAAAUUCUCCUUUGUGCACAGAGCCAACAGAAGCCUUAGGCACAUCUUAUGCCCCCCUCAAAAUGGAACUCAAGGAGUGCUUUGGCCUUGUCUGUCCCUCUACACAGGGGAGAAUUCCACCCCAUUGUGAGAGCUGAGAUCAGCAGAGAUGCUUUUGCUGGCAGGGCCAGGAUGGUGCACCCAUUCUCAAUGGAGGCUCCCUGACAGUGAAACUUAGUCCAUCAGACCUCAGGUCAGUUUGCCUUCAUAGCAUGGUGCAAAACUCAUCUUUAUGGCCCUACCUUUGCCAGAUGGCUCUAAACCAAAGCUCUGUCUUUUAUUUUUCUCUUUCUCAGAUUUUUUUCCCAUUAGAUGGAUAGGUAACAGGGACGGGGUUAACAUUGCUGCCCUUUGUGGGCAUUUAUAGACUGAUGUUUUCUGUUAUGUGUGAUGUGCUCAGAUACCACAUCAAUUGACAUAAUAAAAUAACAAUAAAAUACUUAUAAUAAUACAGGGGAGAGAGAGGAAAUACUGAACAGCAGCUUUCCAACCAAGUGGGAGCUAAAAAUAGAGCAUGAUAAUAAAAAUUAAAGGAAAUUUUUGCUGGCACACACACAUCAGAAUAAACCUGGCUUAGGUAAUAACUGAGAUUAAACAGACUGCACCUCAUCU
Long non-coding RNA from Chrysemys picta bellii (western painted turtle), 2126 nucleotides. RefSeq lists it as uncharacterized. Lineage: Eukaryota; Metazoa; Chordata; Testudines; Emydidae. The record is from RefSeq and is a predicted model, not a curated record.